UGCAAGAAGCAAGCCCUCUGUUGAAACCGCUGCGGGGACGUCAGGAAACUCCGAGGAAUGGCUGAAAACAGAUUUGUUCCACUGAGAACACAGGGACUUGAGCAAGGCGAGUGAGACCGGGUGUGGGAACCUGGGCGUGUCAACAUUCUCAUUUCUAGCCUUCGUCACCGUGCGGGGCAGGGGACGACAAGAGGACAGACCCCCCACGUGGGACUAUGUCCUUGUGUGGUCUCCUUCCCUACCGUGAAGACAAAGCUAUACUGAUGGCAUCUGGAGAAUGAACAACCAGGAGCCAGGCGCGAAGCUGUUUGCUGGAUACGGAGACACUCCCGUCCUCUGGUAACUAAUGCUGAGUGAACCACACACACACCGGGGAGCUGCAGACAUCUGGGAACUCAGUGGCUCCAGCACUGAAGCGUCCCCAGGGGAACUGCAAGAGACGCGUGGUGUCCUCAGGACGGUACAGGCUGUGUGACUGCAUAUUCCCAGUAGAAACCUACACCUGUAUGUGUAUCACUCAGUCAAGUUCUGCUGGAAUGCCUUCUGUGAGCUGUGAAGAGCAAAACCAGUCCUUGUCCUCAACAAGCUUAUUCUUUAGUGUCUGUGGGCACAAACCUAUUACCUGUAAACAGUCAGAGGACAUAGCCGUGAAACCAUCACCACGAUCCGAUUUUGGAACGUUUGGCAAUCAGUCUCCACCCCACUCACACACCCCUGCGCGCACCCCCAGCCCUAAACAACCACUCACCGAUCGGCUUUCUGUUCCUAUCAAUUUGCCUCCAGAGAUGAAUUCUGUACAUUUCAUAUCCACGAAAUCAGAAACGUGUGGUCUCUUAGGACCGCCUGCUCUCACUUAGCACAACGUUUGCAAGGGUCAUCCGUGUGGCAGCGCGUGCUAGGACUUCAUUUCUACUUCUUGCUGGAUGACGUGCCAUCGUGCGGAUCUGUCACAGUUCGUUUAUCCCCUCGGCACCUGAUGGACAUUGGGUCGUCUUCGCUUCGCGGCUAUUGUAAAUAGUGCCGCUAAAAACAUUCACGUAAUUUGUGUGCGCGUGGAUGACGCUUUCAUUUUCUUGGGCUCACACCUACGAGUGGACUUUCUGGGUCAUGUGGUGGGUAAUGCUAUGAUUAACUUUAACCUGAUGCCCCUUGGUGAUUAUUUAAGAUCCUUCCUGUUAGGAAAAUAA
Long non-coding RNA from Lynx canadensis (Canada lynx), 1187 nucleotides. RefSeq lists it as uncharacterized. The transcript has 4 exons. NCBI's taxonomy places the organism in Eukaryota, Metazoa, Chordata, Mammalia, Carnivora, Felidae. The record is from RefSeq and is a predicted model, not a curated record.